Molecule: ribosomal RNA, 509 nt
Filed under: uncultured bacterium
Lineage: Bacteria
Description: bacterial SSU rRNA
Rfam family: Bacterial small subunit ribosomal RNA
Source: RNAcentral
GAUAAACGCUAGCGGCAGGCCUAACACAUGCAAGUCGAGGGGCAGCGGAUAGAGUAGCUUGCUACUCUUGCCGGCGACCGGCGCACGGGUGCGUAACGCGUAUGCAAUCUACCUUUAACAGGGGGAUAAUCCGAAGAAAUUUGGUCUAAUACCCCAUAACAUCAACCGAGGCAUCUCGGUUGGUUAAAAACUCCGGUGGUUAAAGAUGAGCAUGCGUUGUAUUAGCUAGUUGGUGGAGUAACGGUUCACCAAGGCUACGAUACAUAGGGGGACUGAGAGGUUUUCCCCCCACACUGGUACUGAGACACGGACCAGACUCCUACGGGAGGCAGCAGUGAGGAAUAUUGGUCAAUGGACGCAAGUCUGAACCAGCCAUGCCGCGUGCAGGAUGACGGCUCUAUGAGUUGUAAACUGCUUUUGUACGAGGGUAAGGAUGUCUACGUGUAGGCAUUUGAAAGUAUCGUACGAAUAAGGAUCGGCUAACUCCGUGCCAGCAGCCGCAGUAAUAC